Hordeum vulgare subsp. vulgare (domesticated barley) is the source of this 569-nucleotide long non-coding RNA. RefSeq lists it as uncharacterized. The record is from RefSeq and is a predicted model, not a curated record. The transcript is spliced from 3 exons. NCBI's taxonomy places the organism in Eukaryota, Viridiplantae, Streptophyta, Magnoliopsida, Poales, Poaceae.
UUACCUCCUAGGUGGAGUUGCAACAACAGGGCAUUCUUCAGUCUGUUUGUUUGCUGACCUUUGUCAGGGAUACUUUCAGCUAGAGAGAGCAAAGCAUAUUCAUCUGGAAAAUGCAAAGCAUAGCCAUUGUCACAUCUUGUUGUUGCCAUUGUUGUCCAUAGCUUGGCUCUGGAACCAUUACAUGAUGUCUCUGGACUCUCGUAUUGGAUGUUCCACUUCUAAUGAUGAAGAGAAUGACACACACUCCAUAUAUCUACCUAGGAAAUGGAUUAUCUGAAAAAAUAACCUACUCCAGAACUCAAGAGUUGAACCCGAGGAAGAAAUGAUGUCAAAGAAGAUGAUGAUGAAGGGAUCUAUAUUCAUAUGAGAGUUGCUGGAAGGCCGCCAGCAAAAAGCAUCCAAAUCAAGGGACUUAUGAGGUUGUUGUUAAUGUUGUGAUUAGACGGAAUGUUAUGCUUCCUUGUCCCGUUGCUAAGGUGUUUUUUAGUUAAAACAUAUGGUGUUUCUAAUGACUUAAAACUAUUGUAAAUAUGAACUAAACCAAAUUACUCUCAAACACGAGAUCUAGA